GCGGGGGUAGCAAAGCCUGGUCAAACGCGCAGGACUUAAGAUCCUGUCCCUGAGUGGGUUCGAGGGUUCGAAUAGUCGGCUCGGCAGGCGCGUACCGAGCGGCAACGAAAGUCCCUCCCCCCGCACCA
RNAcentral lists this transfer RNA (128 nucleotides) under Candidatus Woesearchaeota archaeon. RNAcentral describes it as "tRNA-Leu". The record is from RNAcentral. Lineage: Archaea; Nanobdellati; Candidatus Woesearchaeota.